Molecule: ribosomal RNA, 250 nt
Filed under: uncultured bacterium
Lineage: Bacteria
Description: partial 16S ribosomal RNA
Rfam family: Bacterial small subunit ribosomal RNA
Source: RNAcentral
GACGAACCGUGCGAACGUUGUUCGGAAUCACUGGGCUUAAAGGGCGCGUAGGCGGGUGGGCAAGUCUGCGGUGAAAGCCUCCAGCUUAACUGGAGAAGUGCCGUGGAUACUGCUCAUCUUGAGGAGGGUAGGGGCAUCUGGAACGGUCGGUGGAGCGGUGAAAUGCGUUGAUAUCGACCGGAACUCCGGUGGCGAAGGCGAGGUGCUGGACCCUUUCUGACGCUGAGGCGCGAAAGCCAGGGGAGCAAAC